UACGAAGGGGGGUCUAGCGUUGCUCGGAAUCACUGGGCGUAAAGGGUGCGUAGGCGGGUCUUUAAGUCAGGGGUGAAAUCCUGGAGCUCAACUCCAGAACUGCCUUUGAUACUGAAGAUCUUGAGUUCGGGAGAGGUGAGUGGAACUGCGAGUGUAGAGGUGAAAUUCGUAGAUAUUCGCAAGAACACCAGUGGCGAAGGCGGCUCACUGGCCUGAUACUGACGCUGAGGCACGAAAGCGUGGGGAGCAAACAGG
This 255-nucleotide ribosomal RNA is filed under the name uncultured bacterium. RNAcentral describes it as "partial 16S ribosomal RNA". It matches the Rfam family "Bacterial small subunit ribosomal RNA", at positions 524 to 776 of the family's 1533-position model. The record is from RNAcentral.